Molecule: transfer RNA, 76 nt
Filed under: Stenotrophomonas maltophilia
Lineage: Bacteria; Pseudomonadati; Pseudomonadota; Gammaproteobacteria; Lysobacterales; Lysobacteraceae
Also listed under: 6 other names
Description: tRNA-Arg(cct)
Source: RNAcentral
GACCGUUGGUACGUAUAGGUAGAUCGCCCCCCUCCUAAGGGGAAGUUCGCCCGUUCGAAUCGGGCCGGGGUCACCA